This 140-nucleotide small nucleolar RNA is filed under the name Cynoglossus semilaevis (tongue sole). RNAcentral's name for it is "Small nucleolar RNA SNORA29 (ENSCSEG00000000394.1)". Lineage: Eukaryota; Metazoa; Chordata; Actinopteri; Pleuronectiformes; Cynoglossidae. The record is from RNAcentral.
CAACCCAUUAUAGUACCUUUCAUUCGCAUCACCAUGAAUGAGCGGCUAUGCUAAUGGGGGAGAACAAACACUGUCAUGGUUCUGAAGGUGUGGCUGCCUAACUGUGCGCCCCACUUAAUUAAUUGACAGAAUAUGUUAUU